UCCCCAGGAGCAUCAUCACCAGUGAUCUUAGUGUUGAGGAGGCAUUUACCAACAUAAGGUUCCUUAGGCCUGAAUUUAUUAGUAACCACACCUUCCUCCACUUUCUUCGAAACCUUCUCAACUUUAGCUGGAGCCUCAGUGGUCACCUGAGCUCUAAUAGACACCAUUUUCCCCCCACUAGACACAUUUCUAAAUGUCAAAGGAACCUGCAACACCAAAAAAAAAAAAAAAAUCCCUUUAACCUUACAUAUUCAUUUUUAUCAAUUUUGUCAAACAGACACGAUCUGAAACCCGAAACGAAAACACAAGUACACAAAAAAGGAUGAUACAAGUGGGGGUACCUUGGUAAAGUUAAGUCUGUCAGUAGACAGGAUAGAUGGUGUGGUGGAAAUGGAAGGUGUUUUAGAGGAAUGGAGAGAGAGUGCAGCAGUGAGUGCAGUAGCCAUUGUUGUAAAAGAGAGAAAAAAAAUUGUCAAGUAAAAAACUUGGUAGCAAAGAAAAAAAGAGGGAGAGAGUGAGAUUUUUUGAUAGGAGGAUCAUAAAUUGAG
This 548-nucleotide long non-coding RNA is filed under the name Daucus carota (carrot). Its description in RNAcentral is "long non-coding RNA (DCAR_LNC003360)". Lineage: Eukaryota; Viridiplantae; Streptophyta; Magnoliopsida; Apiales; Apiaceae. The record is from RNAcentral.